RNAcentral lists this ribosomal RNA (493 nucleotides) under uncultured bacterium. RNAcentral describes it as "bacterial SSU rRNA". It matches the Rfam family "Bacterial small subunit ribosomal RNA", at positions 21 to 507 of the family's 1533-position model. The record is from RNAcentral.
GGCUCAGGAUGAACGCUAGCUACAGGCUUAACACAUGCAAGUCGAGGGGUCUCGAAGGGAGCUUGCUUCUGCGAGACGACCGGCGCACGGGUGAGUAACGCGUAUCCAACCUGCCCUUCAUAUUGGGAUAGCCUUCCGAAAGGGAGAUUAAUACCGAAUAACAUGAGAAGAUUGCAUGAACCUCUCAUGAAAGCUCCGGCGAUGAAGGAUGGGGAUGCGUUCCAUUAGGUAGUAGGCGGGGUAACGGCCCACCUAGCCGACGAUGGAUAGGGGUUCUGGGAGGAAGGUCCCCCACACUGGAACUGAGACACGGUCCAGACUCCUACGGGAGGCAGCAGUGAGGAAUAUUGGUCAAUGGGCGCAAGCCUGAACCAGCCAAGUAGCGUGAAGGAUGACUGCCCUAUGGGUUGUAAACUUCUUUUAUACGGGAACAAACCCUGGUACGUGUACCAGAUUGCGUGUACCGUAUGAAUAAGCAUCGGCUAACUCCGUG